This 496-nucleotide ribosomal RNA is filed under the name Monommidae sp. UPOL ZL0111. RNAcentral's name for it is "partial 16S ribosomal RNA". It matches the Rfam family "Bacterial large subunit ribosomal RNA", at positions 1844 to 2600 of the family's 2925-position model. Lineage: Eukaryota; Metazoa; Arthropoda; Insecta; Coleoptera; Monommidae. The record is from RNAcentral.
UUUAAAGUCUGACCUGCCCAAUGAUUUUUUGAAUGGCCGCAGUAUUUUGACUGUGCAAAGGUAGCAUAAUCAUUAGUUUUUUAAAUGGAAGCUGGUAUGAAUGGUUUGAUGAGAAAAAAACUGUCUCUUUAUCAAUGUUUUAGAAUUUUAUUUUUGAGUUAAAAAGCUUAAAUUUAAUAGAAAGACGAGAAGACCCUAUAGAGUUUUAUAUUUAAAUGUUUAAAGAAUUUUUAGGUUUAGAUUUGUUUUUUAUUUGUUUAAUGUUUUGUUGGGGUGACAUAAAAAUUUAAUAAACUUUUUAUUUAUUAUUACACUAAUUAGUGAAUUAUUGAUCCUAAUUUUUAGAUUAAAAGAAAAAAUUACCUUAGGGAUAACAGCGUAAUUUUUUUUGAGAGUUCUAAUCGAAAAAAGAGAUUGCGACCUCGAUGUUGGAUUAAAGUUAAAUUUUGGUGCAGAAGCUAAAAGGUUAGGUCUGUUCGACCUUUAAAACUUUACA